Molecule: ribosomal RNA, 253 nt
Filed under: uncultured bacterium
Lineage: Bacteria
Description: partial 16S ribosomal RNA
Rfam family: Bacterial small subunit ribosomal RNA
Source: RNAcentral
UACAGAGGGUGCAAGCGUUAAUCGGAAUUACUGGGCGUAAAGGGUGCGUAGGCGGUUCUAUAAGUUAGGUGUGAAAGCCCCGGGCUUAACCUGGGAAUUGCGCCUAAUACUGUCGAGCUAGAGUACUGUAGAGGAAGGUAGAAUUUCCAGUGUAGCGGUGAAAUGCGUAGAUAUUGGAAGGAAUACCAGUGGCGAAGGCGACUUCCUGGACUAAUACUGACGCUCAUGUGCGAAAGCGUGGGGAGCAAACAGG